CGGCCCCAGGUCAGACGGGAUUACCUACUGAGUUUAAGCAUAUCAGUAAGUGGAGGAAAAGAAACGUGCUAGGAUUCCCCUAAUAAUGACGAGCGAACUAGGAAAAACCAAGCUUGAGAAUUAGGCACCAUUGGCAGAUGAAUUGUAGUCUAAAGAAGCGUCAUCUACGGCGGACUGGGCUCAAGUCCCUUAGAAAAGGGCGCUGGAGAGGGUGAGAGCUCGUCGUGCCCGGACCCUAUUGUACCACGAGGUGCUAUUUAAGAGUCGAGUUGUUUGGAAAUGUAGCCCUAAUUGGGCAGUAAAUUUCAUCCAAGGCUAAAUACGGGCGAGAGACCGAUAGUAAACAAGUACCUCGAGGGAAAGAUGAAAAGGACUUUGAAAUGAGAGUUAAAGAGUGCUUGAAAUUAAUGGGUGGGAAGCGAAUGGGGGCCGGCGAUACAUCCCGGUCAGAUGUAGAAUAGCGAGAACUGAUCCGCCGUGUGGCUCGAAGCGAGGAUCGACACGGGUCGUGGCAAAGGCCCAAGCCCGGUCUUUUGAUACGUCCGAGAAGAUAUUGUUGCCUUGGUCGUGGGAUUCAGCACACACCGUCUAAGCAUGCUUGGCACCUGCGGGCUCUCCAUUCAACUUGUCUUGAAACACGGACCAAGGAGUCUGACAUUUGUAUGAGUCAACGGGCUAGAAAACUCGUAAGGCGUAAGGAAAUAAAUUGGUGGGAUCCCUCAUGGGUGCACCGCUGAUCGACCUUGAUCUUUUGAGAAGGGUUCGAGUGAGAGCAUGCUUGUCGGGACUUGAAAGAUGGUGAAAUAUACCUGAGCAGGGUGAAGCCGGAGGAAACUUUGGUGGAGGCCCGCAGCAAUAAUAACGUACAAAUCGUUUGUUUGACUUGGGUAUAGAGGCGAAAGACUAAUCGAACCAUCUAGUAGUUGGUUCCUUCCGAAGUUUCCCUCAGGAUAGCUGGAGCUCUUAGCGAGUUCUAUAGGGUAAAGCCAAUGAUUAGAGGCACCGGGGACGCAACGUCCUCGACCUAUUCUCAAACUUUAAAUAGGUAGGAUGGUGUGGUUGCUUCAUUGAGCUGCGCCAUGAAAUCGAGAGCUCUAAGUGGGCCAUUUUUGGUAAGCAGAACUAGCGAUACGGGAUGAACAUGAAGUCAGGUUACGGUUCCCAACUGUGCAUUAACCUAGAACCCAUAAAGGGUGUUAGUUGAUUAAGACAGUAGAACAGUGGUCAUGAAAGUUGAAAUCCACUAAAGAGUAUGUAACAACUCACCUACCAAUCAACUAGCAUCGAAAAUGGAUGGAGCUUAAGCGCGUGACCUAUACCCGGCCGUCGGGGCAAGGGCCAAGCCACGAUGAGUAAGAGGGCACGGCGAUCAUCGUAAAACCUGGGCCACGAUCCCGGGUAGAGUGGCCGUCGGUGCAGAUCUUAGUGGUAGUAGCAAAACUUUGAAGGCCGAAGAGGGGAAAGGUUCCAUGUGAACAGAACUUGCACAUGGGUUAGUCGAUCCUAAGAGACAGGGAAAGCCCGUCCGAUAUCACGUCCAGCCCUAGCUUCGAAAGGGAAUCAGGUUGAAAUUUUUGCACCGGGAUGUGGCAGCUGACAGCAACAUUAGAGAGUCCAGAAAUGUCAGUGUCGACCUCAGGAAGAGUUAUCUUUUCUGUUUAACGGCUUGUCCACCCUAAAAAUUGCUCAGCCAGAGGUAGGGUCCAGCGGUCAGAAGAGCACCGCACAUCGUGCAGUGUUUGGUGUGCUCUUGGCGGCCCUUGAAAAUUUAGAAGACCGAGUGUCGUCCACGUCUGGUCGUACUCAUAACCAAAUCAGGUCUCUAAGGUGAAUAGCCUCUAGUCAAUGGAACAAUGUAGGCAAGAGAAGUCGGUAAAAUAGAUCCAUAAUGUAACAGCCCGAUUUUGGGUCUAGUCAGAACAGUGGUUUCUGGACCACAAACCCGACGAGAAAAAAAAAUUAUUUUUAUUAUAUUUUUAUAGUCUAUAAAUUUAUGAAAAUAUUUCGUAAAAAUUUCAUUCGAAAAUUUUGACGUUUGAGCACUCAAUUUAGUCAAAAGGACUAAAUUGUAAAAAGUGCAAAAGUUGAGUUCUUUAUAAUGAGGUGCCUAAUUGUUAUGAGUUUUAAAUUGAAAGUCCUUAUGUGAUAAUUAUUCCUUUAAUAAGUUAGUGAAUGGAUAUUUGU
Molecule: non-coding RNA, 2184 nt
Organism: Gossypium hirsutum (cotton)
Lineage: Eukaryota; Viridiplantae; Streptophyta; Magnoliopsida; Malvales; Malvaceae
Source: Rfam